GGUCGGGGUCAUCAUCAUCAUUUGUCACGGCUAUGUAUGCAGCAACAGUGGAAACAAUUAUACAGUUAAUCAUGAGUUUUAGACAUGGCAGGAUACAUGUUACAAAAACACAAAAUAAAAGUGAAAAUACAAAAAGGGAUAAAUAGAAUAAAUAAGAAUAAGAAUACAAAGGAAUUGCAAGUAUUUCAAGUAUUUCAAAUAUUGAAGUCUAUUGCACCGUUGGUUUUUAACAAAAAGUAUUGCACAGUGAAAAGGGAGUAGUCUUUUUAGCAGUCACUUGUAUUAUUUACAUAAUCCUGAUUUUGGGCCUGCUGGAUCUGUCUCAAGGCGUUCAGGGCAUCAGUCAUGUUUGAUGAGUGUACAUUGUCUGAUGUGUGUGUGUGUCAUUUCUCACUCAAUCAACAAGUGCACGUCUGUUCAGGUGUGUGUUUCUCUUCAUUUUGAGUCAGUGUGUGUAGAUGUGUAUGUUUGCGUGUUUAUCACUUUCCUGUUCUGGUGUUUUGGGUAAACCAUGGCCUGAAGCGUGCCCUGGGGUCCUGCCCUCCUCCUUUUCAGUCCGGUUGUGACCAUUGCUGCUGCUGUUCAAAGUUCAGUCUGUCCUGGUCCUGGCCCCAAUUCGGGCAGUCCUUUCUCCAGUGUCCAUGCUCACCGCAGGUGAAACCUGCAUCUUCUUCUGUGUUUUGUCCAUUCUGAGGUGCCUUUUGACCUCAGUUGCUCCUCCUGUCUCUGGCACGCCCUUUCUUCUGCUGCCCGAUCAUCCGUGUUGGUCCAUCACUGUCCUGUACAGUGUUAAUGCAGAGUUAUCAAGGUCAGCAUUCUUUUGCUCGGCCUUACUUUUCAUUCGGGCUUAAUGGGCGUCUCGUCACAGCUCUGUCAGCUGAAGCUGUCUGGAAAUCUCCUCCGUGUAGUGAAACGGGCCUUGGAUUUAACGCUCUCCGUCUCUGCUGCAUGAGAUCGCUUUCCUGUAGCACUGUUGACAUUUUUAGAUUGUUGUUAUGGGUCCAGCUGCUGCAGCAUUUGGUCAGGGUCAAGGUCAGAGAGGGGAGAGCAGGAGUCCAGGUCAGCUUUGGCUUUCAGGGCCGGCAAAGCAGCCUGUAAUUAAACAUAAAGAAAAACAAAACAAAACAAAACAGACGAACAGGAAAAUGAUGUUGUAUUGGCUGUGUUAUUCAGAGAGGGGAGAAACACCGGGCCAGGCCCUGUGUCAGCCUUCUCUCCCCCCUUUUUUUGUGUUUUUCCUCACAAUAUAAUCAACUCAUAACCCACCAAGUUGACAGGACAACACAGGUAGAUAUUAAAAUUCGUAAGAUCACGUUUAAAAGCACAAAAAAGGAAUUUUCCUUCCUUCAGUAAUCACUUGUAUGAUUCAAUCAGCAGAAAACAUCUCACAAUUUGACUCUUAACCACUAAAUUUGUUGUUUCAUCACUGGUUGGUCAUACCAGUCUCGUUCUUUUUGAAGUUGUUGUCCUGCAACCCAGAAAGUUUAUUUGUUAGUAGUGGAUAAACUUCAGUAUUUGAUAACAAAACUAUUAAGUUUUCCCCGUUUUAACACUAAUGUGAGAUAUAGGCGCAUGUAUAGUGUGUGCUGUAGUGUAAGCUGUUCUUCAUUGCAUGUAUGUGUGUUAGUAGCUUGCAUGCAAGGCCUCUGGGCCUGUCUCACCCAAAAAAGCAUUUUCUCAACAGUUGCCUUUCUCUCGCGUGUGUCAAGAAAGGCAAAUGUGCUUGUAGCAGUUGUGAGAUUAUUAUGCUGUUAUAUAUUACAUUAUACCUGUAAUCAAAAUGAGGGAAUCAUGAUACUGCUGUAGGCCACAUCAUACUUCUGAGUUAAAAGAAUGUGAAAAUCAUUAGAUCUAUUAGAUAGGUUUGUAUUAUCCUAUACUGCUGAUUUACUGUGAGUGAGUUACACUGUUUCAUGACAUUUCAUACUGCCGAGUUAUGAAAAGAAUAUUGUAUUCAGAGAGUAGGGGCCUCUCUCUGUUUUUUUUUUUUGUGAUAGUAAAAAGAACAGAGCACAUGCCACGGGAGCAUCACCCCCACCUUUGGUGGAAGCAGAAAAACAGGGAGCCAAGGUCAUAACUCAGGCUCACAAAGAGUUAGAAAAAAAUAUGAAUGCUUAGUUUGUGGGUGUGGCGCAUUUUGUAUGGCUUCUUUUCUUUGUUUAGUAGCUUUCUGCCUUCACCUGAGGGUGUGCCCUAAGCAUGUGACGUCAGGUCUCCAUAAUUGGAGUUUAUUUAAAGAUAAAUAAGAUGAUUUCAUUUAUUGCUCGCAGAUCAUGCACUAAAUGGUAUUUUGCAGUAUUAGCUGUCUUCACCACUUAGACAAAACAUCACUCUUUGUUUUAUUAUUAUUAUUACUAUUAUUUUAAAUUCUCCUUUCUCAAAAACAUAAAAUGAAAUUGUAGUUGUUCUUUGCUGAGAAACACAAAACCUCCCUUUUUUCCCUUUUUUCUUUAUCAAAACAAGAAACUAAGUUUUAACUUUUCUGCCUUGUCACCUAAAACAAAACAGACAACCCAGCUCUCAGCUGGCUCUGGACUUAUCAUCAUCAAGGUCGCAUGGUGAGAGCUACUUCAGAAGUUACAGCACUCAUCACUCAAGCAACAUUUCAAAAAAACAAAAGAAACAAAAACAAAACUUAGCACACUGCACAGAGAACAACAACAAUACACAACUGAAGAUGUUGUUCUUGUUUGUUCUCCUUGAAUUUUAGAAUAAAGUUAUUACAUCUGCAUUAGUAAAUCAUAUGCCUAAUCAUUAUGUGUCACUGUGAUCCACAAGUAUGAUCACAAAUUUAUUCAUUUU
Oreochromis aureus is the source of this 2802-nucleotide long non-coding RNA. Lineage: Eukaryota; Metazoa; Chordata; Actinopteri; Cichliformes; Cichlidae. The record is from Ensembl.